UACGGAGGGGGCUAGCGUUGUUCGGAAUUACUGGGCGUAAAGGGCGCGUAGGCGGUUUUUUAAGUAAGGCGUGAAAGCCCUGGGCUUAACCCAGGAGGUUCGUUUUAGACUGGAAAACUUGAGUGCGAGAGAGGAAAGUGGAAUUCCUAGUGUAGAGGUGAAAUUCGUAGAUAUUAGGAAGAACACCCGUGGCGAAGGCGGCUUUCUGGCUCGCAACUGACGCUGAGGCGCGAAAGCGUGGGGAGCAAACAGG
This 253-nucleotide ribosomal RNA is filed under the name uncultured bacterium. RNAcentral describes it as "partial 16S ribosomal RNA". It matches the Rfam family "Bacterial small subunit ribosomal RNA", at positions 524 to 776 of the family's 1533-position model. The record is from RNAcentral.